Molecule: ribosomal RNA, 440 nt
Filed under: uncultured bacterium
Lineage: Bacteria
Description: partial 16S ribosomal RNA
Rfam family: Bacterial small subunit ribosomal RNA
Source: RNAcentral
CCUACGGGAGGCAGCAGUGGGGAAUAUUGCACAAUGGGGGAAACCCUGAUGCAGCGACGCCGCGUGAGUGAUGAAGUACCUCGGUAUGUAAAGCUCUUUCAGCAGGGAAGAAAAUGACGGUACCUGUUUAAGAAGCCCCGGCAAAAUACGUGCCAGCAGCCGCGGUAAUACGUAGGGGGCACGCGUUAUCCGGAUUUACUGGGUGUAAAGGGGGCGUAGAUGGGAGCACAAGUCUGGAGUGAAAUGCCGGGGCUUAACCCCGGAACUGCUUUGGAAACUGAGCAGCUAGAGUGCAGGAGAGGUAAGUGGAAUGCCUGGUGUAGCGGUGAAAUGCGUAGAUAUUAGGCGGAACGCCGGUGGCGAAGGCAGCUUACUGGACUGUAACUGACGUUGAGGCACGAAAGCGUGGGGAGCAAACAGGAUUAGAUACCCUUGUAGUC